GUGUCAGCCGCCGCGGUAAUACAGAGGUGGCAAGCGUUGUUCGGAAUUACUGGGCGUAAAGGGCGCGUAGGCGGUCCGAUAAGUCCUGUGUGAAAUCCCUCGGCUCAACUGAGGAACUGCACGGGAGACUGUCGGGCUUGAGUUCGGGAGAGGGAAGCGGAAUUCCGGGUGUAGCGGUGAAAUGCGUAGAUAUCCGGAGGAACACCGGUGGCGAAGGCGGCUUCCUGGACCGACACUGACGCUGAGGCGCGAAAGCUAGGGGAGCAAACGGGAUUAGAUACCCCAGUAGUCC
This 292-nucleotide ribosomal RNA is filed under the name uncultured bacterium. Its description in RNAcentral is "partial 16S ribosomal RNA". It matches the Rfam family "Bacterial small subunit ribosomal RNA", at positions 505 to 796 of the family's 1533-position model. The record is from RNAcentral.